UACGGAGGGUGCAAGCGUUAUCCGGAUUCACUGGGUUUAAAGGGUGCGUAGGUGGGCAGUUAAGUCAGUGGUGAAAUCCUGUCGCUUAACGAUAGAAUUGCCAUUGAUACUGCAGGGCUUGAGUACAGUUGCCGUUGGCGGAAUAUGACAUGUAGUGGUGAAAUACAUAGAUAUGUCAUAGAACACCGAUUGCGAAGGCAGCUGACGAAACUGUAACUGACACUGAGGCUCGAAAGUGUGGGGAUCAAACAGG
RNAcentral lists this ribosomal RNA (253 nucleotides) under uncultured bacterium. RNAcentral describes it as "partial 16S ribosomal RNA". It matches the Rfam family "Bacterial small subunit ribosomal RNA", at positions 524 to 776 of the family's 1533-position model. The record is from RNAcentral.